Molecule: unclassified non-coding RNA, 400 nt
Filed under: uncultured bacterium
Lineage: Bacteria
Description: contains 16S-23S intergenic spacer region
Source: RNAcentral
UCCCCGUUACCGGGGCAGUCUGAUUAGAAAAAUCCAACUAAUCAUAAGGGUUGCGCUCGUUGAUGGACUUAACCAAACAUCUCACGACACGAGCUGACGACGGCCAUGCAGCACCUGUCACUGAGUUCCGGGUUACAACACACAAAAAAACUAUAAGUAGUUUAUGUGCUCUAACCCGGCACUCACUCCUUUCGGAGUAAUUCUCAGGAUGUCAAGUCUGGGUAAGGUUCUUCGCUUAGCCUCGAAUUAAACAACACGCUCCACCGCUUGUGCGGGUCCCCGUCAAUUCCUUUGAGUUUUAAUCUUGCGACCGUACUCCCCAGGCGGGAUGCUUAACGCGUUAGCUUCGUUACUGACCGGGUCGAUACGGCCAACAACUAGCAUCCAUAGUUUACGGCGU